This 612-nucleotide ribosomal RNA is filed under the name uncultured bacterium. RNAcentral describes it as "bacterial SSU rRNA". It matches the Rfam family "Bacterial small subunit ribosomal RNA", at positions 338 to 949 of the family's 1533-position model. The record is from RNAcentral.
CCUACGGGAGGCAGCAGUAGGGAAUCUUCCACAAUGGGCGAAAGCCUGAUGGAGCAACGCCGCGUGAGUGAUGAAGGCCUUCGGGUUGUAAAACUCUGUCAUUCGGGACGAACCGGAGUCUGAGGAAAUGCAGACUCUCUGACGGUACCGGAGGAGGAAGCCCCGGCUAACUACGUGCCAGCAGCCGCGGUAAUACGUAGGGGGCAAGCGUUGUCCGGAUUCACUGGGCGUAAAGCGCGCGCAGGCGGUGAUGUAAGUCUGAGGUGAAACCCGAAGCUCAACUUCGGGACUGCCUUGGAUACUGCGUCACUUGAGGAUAGGAGAGGCAAGGGGAAUUCCACGUGUAGCGGUGAAAUGCGUAGAGAUGUGGAGGAACACCUGUGGCGAAGGCGCCUUGCUGGCCUAUUUCUGACGCUGAGGCGCGAAAGCGUGGGGAGCAAACAGGAUUAGAUACCCUGGUAGUCCACGCUGUAAACGAUGAGUGCUAGGUGUAGGUGGGGCUCAUACCCGAUCUGUGCCGAAGCUAACGCAUUAAGCACUCCGCCUGGGGAGUCGGUCGCAAGCUGAAACUCAAGGAUUGACGGCUUGAGCNGCGAGGNGCACGAGGGAGAG